Molecule: long non-coding RNA, 420 nt
Filed under: Salvia miltiorrhiza (redroot sage)
Lineage: Eukaryota; Viridiplantae; Streptophyta; Magnoliopsida; Lamiales; Lamiaceae
Description: long non-coding RNA (SMIL_LNC002967)
Source: RNAcentral
UCUUUAACCCAUUGUCCCAUUCUUCGAUUUCCUGCGAACUCCGCCAUUAACCACCACCAUAGCCUCUAAUUCUAUCGAUCCCUCAAUCUUCUAUCAAAAUUUCAUUAUCCACUGUACCAUAACCAUAAUAUAUCUUUGAAUCAUUACGUGAGAAUUCGCCAGUGGUUGUUGUCGUCGUUGUGCAUCAGCCACCAUCGUUUAUCGCGCAUCGUUCAACUCAGGAGAAGGAGAAGAAUACGAAGAAGAAAGGAAAAAAAAGAAAAGAAAAAGGAAAGAAGCAAUCACGUGAAGAAAGGAAACAAAAUCAAAUGACCAUAUAACCCUUACUAUAAUAUUCUUAAGUUAAAAGGAAGAAAAAGAAAGGGUGAGUAUUAGCCCUAGGAUCAAGGAGAUGGAUGGAUAAGAUUGGGUACUACAUAC